UAAGAGAAAAUGUUUUUGGACAGACCAAAUUCCUCAUCCUCAUUGAAAGAGAGGCCGUUCUCAUCACUCUUCUCCUAUGUCGAGUGUUUCAAAAAUCUCAACCGUAGAGGCAUCAAGAGCUACUGUUGUUCGCCCGCCUUCAAUGGCAAAAGAACAAGCAUCACUCUCGGAUCUAUUACAAGACCGAGGAUUGAUCGACUUCAAACUGAUCACUUUCGAAGUACUUUUCGAGGAGCUUCUGGUUGUCAUCAUUGAUUUUAAACUUCUAUCUUAUCGCUUUCAAACAUUCUUUUUCAAUUGUGUUUCUAUUUCAAAUAUUCGACAAGUAAAUUCUUUGGUGAAGAGCUUCCGGAUUAGUGUUGUUGUUGUAACCGCAAGUUAAUUUUAAUAUAAUAUUAUAUUGG
Molecule: small RNA, 404 nt
Filed under: Arabidopsis thaliana (thale cress)
Lineage: Eukaryota; Viridiplantae; Streptophyta; Magnoliopsida; Brassicales; Brassicaceae
Description: putative long intergenic non-coding RNA
Source: RNAcentral